This 77-nucleotide transfer RNA is filed under the name Myxococcales bacterium. RNAcentral's name for it is "tRNA-Pro". It matches the Rfam family "tRNA". From Rfam's summary of the family: Transfer RNA (tRNA) molecules are approximately 80 nucleotides in length. Their secondary structure includes four short double-helical elements and three loops (D, anti-codon, and T loops). Lineage: Bacteria; Pseudomonadati; Myxococcota; Myxococcia; Myxococcales. The record is from RNAcentral.
CGGGGCGUAGCGCAGCCUGGUAGCGCGCUUGGUUCGGGACCAAGAGGCCGCUGGUUCAAAUCCAGUCGCCCCGACCA